Molecule: unclassified non-coding RNA, 315 nt
Filed under: Hevea brasiliensis (rubber tree)
Lineage: Eukaryota; Viridiplantae; Streptophyta; Magnoliopsida; Malpighiales; Euphorbiaceae
Source: RNAcentral
UUUCUCUCCGUCGUCAGCGCGGCGAAGCCGAAGAUCGCAGACUAUCCGUUCACCACCCUGCAUCCGCAGCUGGGCGUCGUUGGCAUCGACGGGCGCGAAUUCGUGCUGGCCGACAUUCCGGGACUGAUCGAGGGCGCGCACGAAGGUGCCACGAAGGUGCGGGCCUCGGCGACAGAUUCCUCGGUCACGUCGAGCGCUGCCGUGUGCUGCUGCAUCUGGUGGAUGCGACAUCGGAGCAUGCGGGCAAAGAGUACAAGACCGUGCGCACGGAACUGGAAGCGUAUGACGCGAAUCUCGCCGACAAGAUCGAGAUCG